GAUGAACGCUGGCGGCGUGCCUAAUACAUGCGAGUCGAGCGAACAGACGAGGAGCUUGCUCCUCUGACGUUAGCGGCGGACGGGUGAGUAACACGUGGAUAACCUACCUAUAAGACUGGGAUAACUUCGGGAAACCGGAGCUAAUACCGGAUAAUAUAUUGAACCGCAUGGUUCAAUAGUGAAAGACGGUUUUGCUGUCACUUAUAGAUGGAUCCGCGCCGCAUUAGCUAGUUGGUAAGGUAACGGCUUACCAAGGCAACGAUGCGUAGCCGACCUGAGAGGGUGAUCGGCCACACUGGAACUGAGACACGGUCCAGACUCCUACGGGAGGCAGCAGUAGGGAAUCUUCUGCAAUGGGCGAAAGCCUGACGGAGCAACGCCGCGUGAGUGAUGAAGGUCUUCGGAUCGUAAAACUCUGUUAUUAGGGAAGAACAAAUGUGUAAGUAACUAUGCACGUCUUGACGGUACCUAAUCAGAAAGCCACGGCUAACUACGUG
RNAcentral lists this ribosomal RNA (497 nucleotides) under uncultured bacterium. Its description in RNAcentral is "partial 16S ribosomal RNA". It matches the Rfam family "Bacterial small subunit ribosomal RNA", at positions 28 to 507 of the family's 1533-position model. The record is from RNAcentral.